GUGGCUGUAGCUCAGCUUGGUUAGAGCAUCAGAUUGUGGAUCUGAGGGUCGUGGGUUCAAGUCCCAUCAGUCACCCCA
RNAcentral lists this transfer RNA (78 nucleotides) under Chitinophagales bacterium. RNAcentral describes it as "tRNA-His". It matches the Rfam family "tRNA". Rfam says of the family: Transfer RNA (tRNA) molecules are approximately 80 nucleotides in length. Lineage: Bacteria; Pseudomonadati; Bacteroidota; Chitinophagia; Chitinophagales. The record is from RNAcentral.